This is a long non-coding RNA of Brassica napus (rape), 2491 nucleotides long. RefSeq lists it as uncharacterized. The record is from RefSeq and is a predicted model, not a curated record. Lineage: Eukaryota; Viridiplantae; Streptophyta; Magnoliopsida; Brassicales; Brassicaceae. The transcript is spliced from 3 exons.
UAUAUAUACUUUUAUGCAUACAAAUUAUUUUUUAAAUAGGUGGUUUCUAAUAUCUUAUUUGAUCCUCACAAUACCAGAAACACAUUUCUUCAAGUCGAAGUGAUUUUUGGAAGCACUAUAUAUAUAUUUUAUUCAGAUUAAAUAAUCUAGUCUUGAUUUUUAUUCCUAAAAAGAUUUUAAUGAAAUAUCAUGAUAAGAUUUCAAUCACUUUCUUUUGAGUUUGUUCGAAGAAUGAGAAAUUUGAUUAUUUGUCCAAUAUUUGUUUCUCUCUAAUACCCUAUCUAACUAUUAUAAAUGUAAGUAUGAGAGAUUUGAACUAUUUUAUUAUAAGUUUUAUAGUUUAUCAAUUAAUAAAUCUAACAGUUCUUAGUUUAUACAUAAUUUUACACUAUCGGUCAUUGAGGAAUACUUAGGCUUAGAAUAUAUAUAUUUUUUAUCUGAAUAAGUAACUAAACCUCAAAAGCGUAGACUAAUAAAAUAAGUAAUUUGUUUUGUUGUUCUAGAAUUAGAUGACCUUUAGACCAAACUGGUGAAUAUAUACUAGACAAACAUUUAUAUUUCGAGUCUGCAUUUAUAUUCUAUAACAGCUUGAUAUAUUAGAUUUAAACACUAACCUGUUAAUAGAGUUUUCCGGUGAUAUUCUUCAAAAUUUUUAUUUUUAUAUACGUAUCUGAAGUGGAACUAAUUUUUUACAGAUGUCCAUAUUUUUAAAUUGAAACUUAUGUAAUUCACCGAAUUUAUAGAAGAAGUUAAAAAAAGAAACUAAAUUCAUAUCAGUGAUACAAAGACGAUAACAAAAGCACAAUUUUAUAGAGGUAGAAAAUGAAAUCACUUAUGGAGAGUUAGUAAACAAAUCGAGAGAAGAAAACCUAAUCCACUUUCGUCAUUAUACAAUCGAUGUUGCCUAUUUAGUUUUGGUGAUUUGUGUCAGCCGCAAAACUUAAUUUCCUUUUGUGCAUUAGAAAUCUUACAAAUAAUUAAAAUGAGUUGUAAUAUGUUAGCUCUUUAACAACGAUGAUACAUUUAAGAUACCAACAUUUGUAUUCGUCAUUUUAUAAUACAUAAAGAUUGUACUGUUGCAAAAUAUUAAAACCAUUUAAUGAACAAACAUUAUUAUAAAAACUUACUCUGCACAUACACGUGGAUUAUCAUCUAGUCUUAUCUAUUAUUAUAAAGAUAUGUUUCCUUCCUUCCUAGGGGGUCCACGUCAUUCGCCAUGUCAAUAAUUCGAGUCAUCUGGUCGUGACACGCGCCACAAUAAAUGAAACGCGGCGUGUGAAGCUUUUUAUUAGCAUGUGGGUUUGGUUUCGAUUUAAUUGGGCUUUCCUUUAUUUCCUGAUGGGUUUUUAUUGUUAUCUCCGUUUUCUCCACAAAACAUGUCACCGAAACCCUAAGGUUUGAUUCUGUUCAUCUUCCCGAUUCAAAAGAAACACUGGAAACGCUUUGUGGUUGUGUCCAAGCGAAGAGACGUCUUCAACAUAGUCAUCAGCCAUUGUCGAUCAAUCCUUCAAUGAUUCCCCAUUUACUGCCUUCGUCAGUAUCUACCACUAUAAAAAGGCCGGCCAUUGUACCUCCGCCGUUGAGGUCCGCUUGCUUCGGUUCUGGGAAGAAGCUAGGUAUGGGAAGCGGCGAGCUAAUGGAGGUUGACCUGCUCCUCCUCGACGCUAAGGUAGUUCCGUACUGCUUUGAAACCUAAUAUUCUGUUUAACGUAAGUCCAUUUGUUCAUGUCUUGAUUAUCAAAAAUAUUUCCCAGAAGCGUUUGGUUAUCUUAAAAUAUUUGGGAGAUGAUUAAUGGUUUUUUUUUGUUGAUUCUGAGUUGUUCAAAAAAAUUUUAUAUUUGUUCUGAUUGUUUUUCUUUCCGAAGCUUUUUGCUUUGUUUUGUGUUAGUACUGGCGUUGUUCUAUUUUCUGGUGAUCUGAAGGGAAAACACCCCUCAGACUUUCAAGAAAGAGCACCCCAAAAACAAAUUUGUUGCUGUUUGAGUGAUUCUUCUCAUCUUAAAAUUAUUUUGUACCUUACCCUCUCAAUCUGUACAGUUGUACUGCGGUUAAAGUUCUAUGGAUAAUCAGGUUGGAAAUGUAGCUAGAGACCAGUGGAAAUCCAUGUCAUAUGUUGUGUUUCUAAUUCGUAUGUUUGACAAUAAUGAAAGGAUGUAAAUCAAAGAGUGAAACCAUGAGUUCCAAAUCUCUGUUUGCAAAGGGAUGCAAUAAGACAACUGUAUCACUCUAAGGAGGCUUCUCUUUGGGUGGCAUUCUGGGAUCACAUUUAUCAUAUGGUUUUGAUGUUUAUGUAUUUAAUUGCUUAUGUUAUGUGUACACUUGGUCCUUUAAAUAUUUUUGUGCGUUCAUAGGCUUAAGCUUCCACUUCAGUAGGAAAGGCAACACAAAUGUGGACUACAAAUCUGAAGUUCCAUAGAAUAAUAUAGGAUGCUUCAAAGGAUCUUCUGGAUGCUUUUUUUUUCUCUUUAAAUGUUAACUAGGUAUUUUAUCA